Molecule: ribosomal RNA, 253 nt
Filed under: uncultured bacterium
Lineage: Bacteria
Description: partial 16S ribosomal RNA
Rfam family: Bacterial small subunit ribosomal RNA
Source: RNAcentral
UACGUAGGGCGCCAGCGUUAUCCGGAAUUAUUGGGCGUAAAGAGCUCGUAGGCGGUUUGUCGCGUCUGCCGUGAAAGUCCGGGGCUUAACUCCGGAUCUGCGGUGGGUACGGGCAGACUAGAGUGCAGUAGGGGAGACUGGAAUUCCUGGUGUAGCGGUGAAAUGCGCAGAUAUCAGGAGGAACACCGAUGGCGAAGGCAGGUCUCUGGGCUGUAACUGACGCUGAGGAGCGAAAGCAUGGGGAGCGAACAGG